GGAAUCUUGGACAAUGGGCGAAAGCCUGAUCCAGCGACGCCGCGUGGGUGAUGAAGGCCUUCGGGUUGUAAAGCCCUUUCGCCGGGGACGAUGAUGACGGUACCAGGAGAAGAAGCACCGGCUAACUCCGUGCCAGCAGCCGCGGUAAGACGGCGGGUGCUAGCGUUGUUCGGAAUCACGGGGCGUAAAGGGCGGGUAGGCGGCUUCGGCAGUCGGGUGUGAAAGCCCGGGGCUCAACCCCGGAACGGCACUCGAUACUCCGAGGCUCGAGGUCGGAAGAGGAGGGUGGAAUACCCAGUGUAGAGGUGAAAUUCGUAGAUAUUGGGUGGAACACCGGUGGCGAAAGCGGCUCUCUGGUCCGAACCUGACGCUGAGGCGCGAAAGCGUGGGGAGCAAAC
This 398-nucleotide ribosomal RNA is filed under the name uncultured bacterium. Its description in RNAcentral is "bacterial SSU rRNA". It matches the Rfam family "Bacterial small subunit ribosomal RNA", at positions 358 to 773 of the family's 1533-position model. The record is from RNAcentral.